UUAUAUGAGAGUUUGAUCCUGGCUCAGGACGAACGCUGGCGGCGUGCCUAAUACAUGCAAGUCGAACGCACGAAGUUGAAGA
RNAcentral lists this ribosomal RNA (82 nucleotides) under Carnobacterium maltaromaticum. RNAcentral describes it as "partial 16S ribosomal RNA". It matches the Rfam family "Bacterial small subunit ribosomal RNA", at positions 1 to 82 of the family's 1533-position model. Lineage: Bacteria; Bacillati; Bacillota; Bacilli; Lactobacillales; Carnobacteriaceae. The record is from RNAcentral.